Molecule: long non-coding RNA, 1039 nt
Organism: Cynoglossus semilaevis (tongue sole)
Lineage: Eukaryota; Metazoa; Chordata; Actinopteri; Pleuronectiformes; Cynoglossidae
Exons: 3
Source: RefSeq, a predicted model, not a curated record
GGGACGCUAGCCAACGGGUCGCACAGCUCCAGGUCCAGAUGAGUCAGGAACAGGAAGACGAAUCUGUGAACCCCAAGGAGAAACGACGUUAAAAACAUGGCUGCUGGAGGCAAUCCCAGCAGUCACCAGUGGCGUCCCACUUUCGGUGCCAGACGUAGACGGUGAGCACCUACGGCCCCGGCUGCUAACGCGACGGUACGGGUUCUCCAGGCUGCAGUGCUGUGGUCGAACGUUCAGGUCUGAGGCGUCGGUGAGUCAACAGAAGGCUGGAGAGAUGAAGAGGAGACCUGAGACACAACAACAGCCUGUGAUCUCCCCCUGCUGGCAGCACAGGGCAAUGACACUGUGUUGUCAGUGACAGGACUAGUGAGACACGUUGUUGUAUAACAGGAACCUCUGUCCACACGUGUUAUUCAGACUCUACAUUUACAUUUUUAUCUAAUGCAAAUUACACGAGGUAGAUGGAGUAUAAAUUUCCACUAGGGCUCGAACCUAGAACCUUCUGCUUGUAAGGCAUGUGUGAUAUCCACUGCAGUAUUUCAGGGAUGUGAUCCUAUAACAUAUAUAUAUAUAUUUGUAUUUUUAUUACAGCACACAAACAGCUAUUUGAAUUCAAAGAUUUUACAAGACAGUGAUGCUGCCCUCUGUUGGUUUUUCCCUGGUAGUGGAACUGUUUAUACUAUGUGCAGAGAACAUUCCAGUCGCUGACUGCGUCUUAAAAUAUGUACGAGCUGUUGUUUCUAAUCAAACAAAGAAAGUGGUUCAUACAAAAUGCUUCACUGAUAUUUUUUUUUUUAAUUUAACAGUGAAGCCUGUCACAGCGUGGCUCGUGGGGCGGGGGCCCGUUAAGGUUCGUUUAACAACGAGCUCGACAGGGAACGCUUCCAACUGUGAACAAAGUUCCCACGAGGCUUCACUAAUGAAGAGGUUACAUUUGUCCAAGUCAACAACUGAGUCAACAACUGACUGACUGACUGACUGACUGACUGGCUGACUGACUGACUGACUGACUACUAACUAACUGACUGGCUGACUGUUU